GAAGACAGGAUUCACAAGUUGGCAAUGAUUCACAAUCAUUGAUUUCUAAAAUGCCUUGUUGGGCUAACCUGUUUAUCCUGUUUUUGUUUAUAUGACCAAGCCGGCAAUGCCAUAAAUAGGUUUCAUUGACUUUAUCUAAUUUAGGAUGUUUAUUAGAUGUGUACAUUACAUUCACAGGCAAUGAUAGAGUAUAAAUGCCAUAUUUCAUUUGUCCACUGAAACACAGCGAAACAUCAACUCCUAUAAUCUGAAGCGGUCAAUCCCUUCUUGACUCAUACACAGACUUCGCGAGUACUUGACUGCACCCAGCAACUUUUCAAUAUCUGAAUUAGAAAUUCAGAUCAUUCAGUGCCAAAGUACAGUGAGUUGCUUGCAAGUCACCGUGAUAGUCUUGGGUCUAAGGGAUACUUAUGCCCAUAUGCUUUGUGAGCUAACUCCUGACAGUGGAGUGCUCAACAGGUGAGUCACUGUUUAGCGACGAUGUACUCCUACAUCUCACCUAUAUGCCAUACCAGUGUCUCCACACUCCUUGGUUAAGAGGACAACCAACUAAAUGGCAUACAACGACCUAUA
Molecule: long non-coding RNA, 573 nt
Filed under: Phoenix dactylifera (date palm)
Lineage: Eukaryota; Viridiplantae; Streptophyta; Magnoliopsida; Arecales; Arecaceae
Description: long non-coding RNA (PDAC_LNC011514)
Source: RNAcentral